GUGUAGUAUGAAAGGAGAGACGUUUAGCACUUCCCUUAGACAAGGAUGGAACACAUAUUCAUAAAUUGGUAAGGCACUUGUCGUCCUUUGGCGACACUUACCAAAUUUUUUAU
Small nuclear RNA from Frieseomelitta varia, 113 nucleotides. The record is from RefSeq and is a predicted model, not a curated record. Lineage: Eukaryota; Metazoa; Arthropoda; Insecta; Hymenoptera; Apidae.